Molecule: ribosomal RNA, 465 nt
Filed under: uncultured bacterium
Lineage: Bacteria
Description: bacterial SSU rRNA
Rfam family: Bacterial small subunit ribosomal RNA
Source: RNAcentral
GCCAGACUCCUACGGGAGGCAGCAGUGAGGAAUAUUGGUCAAUGGUCGGGAGACUGAACCAGCCAGGCCGCGUGAGGGAUGAAGGUACAGAGUAUCGUAAACCUCUUUUGUCAGGGAACAAAGGCGGGGACGUGUCCCCGGAUGAGUGUACCUGAAGAAAAAGCAUCGGCUAACUCCGUGCCAGCAGCCGCGGUAAUACGGAGGAUGCGAGCGUUAUCCGGAUUUAUUGGGUUUAAAGGGUGCGCAGGCGGCACUGUUAGUCAGCGGGGAAACCCCGGGGCCCCACCCCCGCCCCGCCGUUGAAACUGGCAGUCUCGAGUUGGAGAGAAGUAUGCGGAAUGCGCGGUGUAGCGGUGAAAUGCAUAGAUAUCGCGCAGAACUCCGAUUGCGAAGGCAGCAUGCCGGCUCCACACUGACGCUGAGGCACGAAAGCGUGGGUAUCGAACAGGAUUAGAUACCCGAGUA